UACGUAGGGUGCGAGCGUUAAUCGGAAUUACUGGGCGUAAAGCGUGCGCAGGCGGUUCGCUGUGUCCGAUGUGAAAGCCCCGGGCUUAACCUGGGAAUGGCAUUGGAAACUGGCGGGCUUGAGUGUGGCAGAGGGGGGUGGAAUUCCGCGUGUAGCAGUGAAAUGCGUAGAGAAGCGGAGGAACACCGAUGGCGAAGGCAGCCCCCUGGGCUAACACUGACGCUCAGGCACGAAAGCGUGGGGAGCAAACAGG
This 253-nucleotide ribosomal RNA is filed under the name uncultured bacterium. RNAcentral's name for it is "partial 16S ribosomal RNA". It matches the Rfam family "Bacterial small subunit ribosomal RNA", at positions 524 to 776 of the family's 1533-position model. The record is from RNAcentral.